This 744-nucleotide ribosomal RNA is filed under the name Mycoblastus affinis. RNAcentral's name for it is "partial small subunit ribosomal RNA". It matches the Rfam family "Bacterial small subunit ribosomal RNA", at positions 368 to 1029 of the family's 1533-position model. The record is from RNAcentral. Lineage: Eukaryota; Fungi; Ascomycota; Lecanoromycetes; Lecanorales; Mycoblastaceae.
UCAAUAGCCUAACGGCUGAACCAGCAACUUGGAGGAAUGUAUAGCAAUAGCUGAUUGCACCAACAAACAGUUGAUGCAAUAUCGACUCUGUCGAAUAAAAUUCUAGGUAGAAUUAUGAUAAUGACAUUGUCUACCUAUGUGUCUUGACCAAAUUACGUGCCAGCAGUCGCGGUAAUACGUAAAAGACUAGUGUUAUUCAUCUUUAAUAGGUUUAAAGGGUACCUAGACGGUAAAUCAAGCCUUAGUCGGGACUAAUUUACUAGAGUUACUUGUGAGGGGGUAUUAAAGUACUGCUGGUGUAGAGAUGAAAUUCUGUCAUACCUCUUUUCGAAAGAAAAAUAAUGGCACAGGUAUAGGCGAAAGCAUCCCCUUAUGUGAUAACUGACGUUGAAGGACGAAGGCUUUGUGCCGCGAACAGGAUUAGAUACCCCAGUAGUCAAAGCAGAAAAUGAUGAAUGUCAUAGGUUAGAUAAUAUUUAUCCUAUAAAUGAAAGUGUAAGCAUUCCACCUCAAGAGUAAUUUGGCAACAUUGGAACUGAAAUCAUUAGACCGUUUCUGAAACCAGUAGUGAAGUAUGUUGUUUAAUUUGAUGUUCCGCAAAAAACCUUACCACAAUUUGAAUAUUUAUAUUUAUUUUUUUUUCUUCUGUUCUAUUAUGACGUUUUCUUGUUUCUCUUUUUUGUGGUUUUUUUCAUCUUUCCUGGUAUUUUCAUCUUUCUUGACUAUUUUUUUUUUUUUAAGUUU